GACGAACGCUGGCGGCGUGCUUAACACAUGCAAGUCGUACGGUAAGGCCCUUUCGGGGGUCCACGAGUGGCGCACGGGUGCGUAACACGUGAGUAACCUGCCCACAACUUUGGGAUAACGCUAGGAAACUGGUGCUAAUACUGGAUAUGUGCUCCUGCUGCAUGGUGGGGGUUGGAAAGCUCCGGCGGUUGUGGAUGGACUCGCGGCCUAUCAGCUUGUUGGUGGGGUAGUGGCCUACCAAGGCGGCGACGGGUAGCCGGCCUGAGAGGGUGACCGGCCACAUUGGGACUGAGAUACGGCCCAGACUCCUACGGGAGGCAGCAGUGGGGAAGAUUGCACAAUGGGCGCAAGCCGGAUGCAGCAACGCCGCGUGCGGGAUGACGGCCUUCGGGUUGUAAACCGCUUUCAGCAGGGACGAAGCUUUUUGUGACGGUACCUGCAGAAGAAGCACCGGCUAACUACGUG
Molecule: ribosomal RNA, 465 nt
Filed under: uncultured bacterium
Lineage: Bacteria
Description: partial 16S ribosomal RNA
Rfam family: Bacterial small subunit ribosomal RNA
Source: RNAcentral